Bos taurus (domestic cattle) is the source of this 679-nucleotide long non-coding RNA. The record is from Ensembl. NCBI's taxonomy places the organism in Eukaryota, Metazoa, Chordata, Mammalia, Artiodactyla, Bovidae.
CUCCAAGAGCACGUGCACGGGCUCCCCGUGUGCCUGGCGUGCCAGAUUCUUCUCCUGCAGCUCCCGGAUCUCCAGGGUUAAUGCUCCGCUCAGAAGGCUGAGAAGUGCUGCCUCUCCACUUUGGGUGGCCGAAGCUGUCCCAAGAUGAGUGAGGUAGAACCCUGGACACCGUGGACAUUGCUGUGGUUGUGGAGAAGAACCUGAACCAAGCCCUUCUGGGUCUUCAUACCCUGGUUCUGCCUGUGCAGACCCCUGUCUCUGUGACGUCCUGGAGAAUCACUUCACAGAUGAGGAGGUGAAACUCAGCAAGAAUUUGGGGAUCCACCUGACAGACUGGCUGCCGUUGGGCCGAUUCCACAUUUAAGCAUAUCAGUUUAAACAGUGCUGGAGUGAUCCAUCCCUUAAAGGUUUGGUGGAACCUGAGGGGCCAACCUCAGCCUGCAGCUGGCACCUGAAAAGAAGGCCUCAGUGACUCAGAUGAUUGAUCCCAGCAGGGCAGUUUCCGUGGAGCCGACCAUAAGCCUCAGAGAUGCAGACUCCCACGUCCUUGGGGUGGGACUCUCCCUCCCUCCAUCCUGGAUCUUCUUGCUGGUCGAGCCUGUAAGAAUUCCACCUGGAGAGGUCACAGCGGAGCUGGUGGGCAGACAGGACCCAGGGAGAGAUGGGCUGGAUUGAGAGG